This 254-nucleotide ribosomal RNA is filed under the name uncultured bacterium. RNAcentral describes it as "partial 16S ribosomal RNA". It matches the Rfam family "Bacterial small subunit ribosomal RNA", at positions 524 to 777 of the family's 1533-position model. The record is from RNAcentral.
UACGAAGGGGGCUAGCGUUGUUCGGAAUCACUGGGCGUAAAGCGCACGUAGGCGGACUUUUAAGUCAGAGGUGAAAUCCCAAGGCUCAACCUUGGAACUGCCUUUGAUACUGGGAGUCUUGAGGUCGAGAGAGGUGAGUGGAACUGCGAGUGUAGAGGUGAAAUUCGUAGAUAUUCGCAAGAACACCAGUGGCGAAGGCGGCUCACUGGCUCGAUUCUGACGCUGAGGUGCGAAAGCGUGGGGAGCAAACAGGG